UGCUGAAACUGCAACACUAACUCUUUUUCCUUUGUUGUAGUCUAUCGUUCUCAUUAGCAAUUGGAAGAUAAAGUCUGGACUUUAUUCCUUUUCUUCUUUAACGUCAAAAUCUUAACUAAUAGAUACCAGUUCCCCUCAAAGAAAACUUAUGCUGUCCGCUAUAAAUAGCUCUCUUAUACUGAUGUAUGCUAUGUUGUCGAGUGCCAUAGGUGUGAGAUCAAUAGGAAGUUGAUAAACUAGACGCUUGAUGCAUUACUGAAAAUCUCUCGGACCCAUUAAUAUCUAAAAUGAUCUUGGCUUCUUGUGAGUUAGGAUGUACUGAGGAAAUAAUUACCAUUGCUGCUACGCUCUCCAUACAGUCUAUUUGGAUUCCUGUUAGAGGAGUACAGAAGGAGUUGGAUGAAGCAAAGUUGAGAUUUGCAGCUGCCGAG
Non-coding RNA from Nicotiana tabacum (common tobacco), 431 nucleotides. Lineage: Eukaryota; Viridiplantae; Streptophyta; Magnoliopsida; Solanales; Solanaceae. The record is from RefSeq and is a predicted model, not a curated record.